GGGUUGUGAGGUUAAGCGACUAAGCGUACACGGUGGAUGCCCUGGCAGUCAGAGGCGAUGAAGGACGUGCUAAUCUGCGAUAAGCGUCGGUGAGGUGAUAUGAACCGUUAUAACCGGCGAUUUCCGAAUGGGGA
RNAcentral lists this ribosomal RNA (134 nucleotides) under Escherichia coli. RNAcentral's name for it is "partial 23S ribosomal RNA". It matches the Rfam family "Bacterial large subunit ribosomal RNA", at positions 1 to 124 of the family's 2925-position model. Lineage: Bacteria; Pseudomonadati; Pseudomonadota; Gammaproteobacteria; Enterobacterales; Enterobacteriaceae. The record is from RNAcentral.